RNAcentral lists this transfer RNA (73 nucleotides) under Marmota monax (woodchuck). Its description in RNAcentral is "tRNA.Ala". Lineage: Eukaryota; Metazoa; Chordata; Mammalia; Rodentia; Sciuridae. The record is from RNAcentral.
UGAGGAUGUAGAUCAGUGGUAGAGACCUUGCCUGGCAUAUAUGAGGCCCUGGGUUCAAUACCCAGAACCACAG